GUGCCAGCCGCCGCGGUAAUACGUAGGGGGCGAGCGUUGUCCGAAGUUACUGGGCGUAAAGCGCGCGUAGGCGGGUUAUUAAGUUGGAUGUGAAAUCUUCGGGCUCAACCCGGAAACCGCAUCCAAAACUGUUAGCCUUGAGGUAUGGAGAGGGAAGUGGAAUUCCUGGUGUAGCGGUGAAAUGCGUAGAUAUCAGGAGGAACACCCGUGGCGAAGGCGGCUUCCUGGCCAUAUCCUGACGCUGAGGUGCGAAAGCUAGGGGAGCGAACGGGAUUAGAUACCCCCGUAGUCC
This 292-nucleotide ribosomal RNA is filed under the name uncultured bacterium. Its description in RNAcentral is "partial 16S ribosomal RNA". It matches the Rfam family "Bacterial small subunit ribosomal RNA", at positions 505 to 796 of the family's 1533-position model. The record is from RNAcentral.